This 171-nucleotide microRNA precursor is filed under the name Hordeum vulgare subsp. vulgare (domesticated barley). Its description in RNAcentral is "MIR2118 microRNA precursor family". It matches the Rfam family "MIR2118 microRNA precursor family". The record is from Rfam by way of RNAcentral. Lineage: Eukaryota; Viridiplantae; Streptophyta; Magnoliopsida; Poales; Poaceae.
GUGAGGUAGAAAGAGUAAGAAAUAGUUUAAGAGCGGUGAGAAUGGGAACAUGGAGGAAACCCCGAGCUAUCCGUGUGCACCUCUAUAACCAGGGGUGGCUAUUUCUCUUAGUGUUUCCCCAUUCCUCCCAUUCCUAUUGUUCUUAGGUUCUCCUUACCCUUCCUUUUACGU